Molecule: transfer RNA, 72 nt
Filed under: Camelus bactrianus (Bactrian camel)
Lineage: Eukaryota; Metazoa; Chordata; Mammalia; Artiodactyla; Camelidae
Also listed under: 2 other names
Rfam family: tRNA
About the family: Transfer RNA (tRNA) molecules are approximately 80 nucleotides in length.
Source: Rfam by way of RNAcentral
GGACAUAUAGCUCAAUGGUAGAGCGUGUGCCUAGUAUGUACAAAGUCCUGGGUUCAAUCCCUGGUACCUCCA